AGGACGAACGCUGGCGGCGUGCUUAACACAUGCAAGUCGAGCGGAAAGGCCCUUCGGGGUACUCGAGCGGCGAACGGGUGAGUAACACGUGAGCAAUCUGCCCUUAGCUUCGGGAUAGCCCCGGGAAACCGGGAUUAAUACCGAAUAUGACCUCGGCCGACAUCGGCUUUGGUGGAAAGUUUUUCGGCUAGGGAUGAACUCGCGGCCUAUCAGCUUGUUGGUGGGGUAAUGGCCUACCAAGGCGACGACGGGUAGCCGGCCUGAGAGGGCGACCGACCACACUGGGACUGAGACACGGCCCAGACUCCUACGGGAGGCAGCAGUGGGGAAUAUUGCGCAAUGGGCGAAAGCCUGACGCAGCGACGCCGCGUGGGGGAUGAAGGCCUUCGGGUUGUAACCCUUUCAGCAGGGACGAAGCGAGAGUGACGGUACCUGCAGAAGAAGCGCCGGCUAACUACGUGCCAGCAGCCGC
Molecule: ribosomal RNA, 472 nt
Filed under: uncultured bacterium
Lineage: Bacteria
Description: SSU rRNA
Rfam family: Bacterial small subunit ribosomal RNA
Source: RNAcentral